GUGCCAGCAGCCGCGGUAAUACCGGCAGCUCAAGUGAUGGCCACUCUUAUUGGGCCCAAAGCGUCCGCAGCUGGCUGCGCAAGUCCGUCGGGAAAUCCACUCGCCCAACGAGUGGGCGUCCGACGGAAACUGCACAGCUUGGGACCGGAAGGCUCGAAGGGUACGUUCGGGGUAGGAGUGAAAUCCUAUAAUCCCGCACGGACCACCGAUGGCGAAGGCACUUCGAGAAAACGGAUCCGACAGUGAGGGACGAAAGCCAGGGUCUCCAACCGGAUUAGAAACCCCUGUAGUCC
This 293-nucleotide ribosomal RNA is filed under the name uncultured bacterium. RNAcentral describes it as "partial 16S ribosomal RNA". It matches the Rfam family "Archaeal small subunit ribosomal RNA", at positions 455 to 747 of the family's 1478-position model. The record is from RNAcentral.